CUUUCUGACACUAGACAUUUGGUGUCUUCAUAGGUCCUAAAUUCACACUGUCUCUUUCCAGGUUUUGUCAUCUGUCCUAGGACCCCUUGCUGAAGAUGAAGAAGCACAGGAGAGAACAUCAGGAAACCUGCAAGAGAAAGAGUGAGCACAAGUUGGGGAGCAUCAGACAGAGGAAGAGGGCAAAGCAGGCUCCCCGCUGAGCAGGGACACUGAUAUGGAGCUCAAUCCCAGGACCCUGAGAUCACAACCCGAGCAGAAGACAGAUGGUUAAUGAAAGAGCCACCCA
Molecule: long non-coding RNA, 286 nt
Filed under: Mustela putorius furo (domestic ferret)
Lineage: Eukaryota; Metazoa; Chordata; Mammalia; Carnivora; Mustelidae
Description: lncRNA (ENSMPUG00000027365.1)
Source: RNAcentral